UACGUAGGGCGCAAGCGUUAUCCGGAAUUAUUGGGCGUAAAGAGCUCGUAGGCGGUUUUGUCGCGUCUGCCGUGAAAGUCCGGGGCUCAACUCCGGAUCUGCGGUGGGUACGGGCAGACUAGAGUGAUGUAGGGGAGACUGGAAUUCCAGGUGUAGCGGUGAAAUGCGUAGAUAUCUGGAGGAACACCGGUGGCGAAGGCGGCAUCCUGGACCAACACUGACACUGAGGAGCGAAAGCCAGGGGAGCAAACGGG
Molecule: ribosomal RNA, 254 nt
Filed under: uncultured bacterium
Lineage: Bacteria
Description: partial 16S ribosomal RNA
Rfam family: Bacterial small subunit ribosomal RNA
Source: RNAcentral